Molecule: ribosomal RNA, 249 nt
Filed under: uncultured bacterium
Lineage: Bacteria
Description: partial 16S ribosomal RNA
Rfam family: Bacterial small subunit ribosomal RNA
Source: RNAcentral
GCAAGUCGAGCGAGAUUUAUGACUCCGGUUAUAAUGACCGUGGCACAGGGGGGCGUAACGCGUAUGCUACCUACCCUUUACUGGGGGAUAGUCCGGAGAAAUCCGGAUUAAUACACCAUAGUAUCACAGAUUGGCAUCAUGAAGUGAUGAAAGAUUUAUUGGUAAAGGAUGGGCAUGCGUGACAUUAGCUAGUUGGUGAGGUAACGGCUCACCAAGGCCACGAUGUCUAGGGGUUCUGAGAGGAUGAGC